AGAAGGUUCUUUCGGGAACUGGAGAGUGGCGCACGGGUGAGUAACGCGUGGGGACCUACCUCUUAGUGGGGGAUAACGGAUGGAAACGACCGCUAAUACCGCAUACGCCCUUCGGGGGAAAGAUUUAUCGCUAAGAGAUGGACCCGCGUUGGAUUAGAUAGUUGGUGAGGUAACGGCUCACCAAGUCAGCGAUCCAUAGCUGGUUUGAGAGGAUGAUCAGCCACACUGGGACUGAGACACGGCCCAGACUCCUACGGGAGGCAGCAGUGGGGAAUAUUGGACAAUGGGCGGAAGCCUGAUCCAGGCAUGCCGCGUGAGUGAAGAAGGCCUUCGGGUUGUAAAGCUCUUUCAGAU
This 354-nucleotide ribosomal RNA is filed under the name uncultured Alphaproteobacteria bacterium. Its description in RNAcentral is "bacterial SSU rRNA". It matches the Rfam family "Bacterial small subunit ribosomal RNA", at positions 69 to 441 of the family's 1533-position model. The record is from RNAcentral. Lineage: Bacteria; Pseudomonadati; Pseudomonadota; Alphaproteobacteria.